AACGAACGCUGGCGGCAUGCCUAACACAUGCAAGUCGAACGAGACCUUCGGGUCUAGUGGCGCACGGGUGCGUAACGCGUGGGAACCUGCCCUUAGGUUCGGAAUAACUCCCCGAAAGGGGUGCUAAUACCGGAUAAUGUCUUCGGACCAAAGAUUUAUCGCCUUUGGAUGGGCCCGCGUUGGAUUAGCUAGUUGGUAGGGUAAAAGCCUACCAAGGCGACGAUCCAUAGCUGGUCUGAGAGGAUGAUCAGCCACACUGGGACUGAGACACGGCCCAGACUCGUGCGGGAGGUAGCAGUGGGGAAUAUUGGACAAUGGGCGAAAGCCUGAUCCAGCAAUGCCGCGUGAGUGAUGAAGGCCUUAGGGUUGUAAAGCUCUUUUACCCGGGAGGAUAAUGACAGUACCGGGAGAAGAAGCUCCGGCUAACUCCGU
This 432-nucleotide ribosomal RNA is filed under the name uncultured bacterium. RNAcentral's name for it is "partial 16S ribosomal RNA". It matches the Rfam family "Bacterial small subunit ribosomal RNA", at positions 29 to 506 of the family's 1533-position model. The record is from RNAcentral.